AACGAACGCUGGCGGCAGGCUUAAUACAUGCAAGUCGAACGCCCCUUUCGGGGGGAGUGGCAGACGGGUGAGUAACGCGUGGGAACGUGCCCAAAGGUAGGGAACAACUCCGGGAAACUGGAGCUAAUACCCUAUGUGCCCGAGAGGGGAAAGAUUUAUCGCCUUUGGAUCGGCCCGCGUUGGGUUAGCUAGUUGGUGGGGUAAAAGCCUACCAAGGCGACGAUCCAUAGCUGUUCUGAGAGGAAGAUCAGCCACACUGGGACUGAGACACGGCCCAGACUCCUACGGGAGACAGCAGUAGGGAAUCUUGGACAAUGGGCGCAAGCCUGAUCCAGCCAUGCCGCGUGAGUGAUGAAGGCCUUAGGGUUGUAAAACUCUUUCGCAGGUGACGAUAAUGACGGUAACCUGAGAAGAAGCCCCGGCUAACUUCGUGCCAGCAGCCGCCGUAA
This 449-nucleotide ribosomal RNA is filed under the name uncultured bacterium. RNAcentral describes it as "partial 16S ribosomal RNA". It matches the Rfam family "Bacterial small subunit ribosomal RNA", at positions 29 to 523 of the family's 1533-position model. The record is from RNAcentral.